CGUAAUACCGCAUAAGCUGGUGACGAUGGGAAUGGUUAUCAGGAAAGCUUUAGUGCUUUGAGAGGGGCCUACGGCCGAUUAGCUAGUUGGUGAGGUAAAGGCUCACCAAGGCGAUGAUCGGUAGCUGGUCUGAGAGGACGAUCAGCCACACGGGAACUGAGACACGGUCCCGACUCCUACGGGGGGCAGCAGUGAGGAAUAUUCGGCAAUGGGGGCAACCCUGACCGAGCAACGCCGCGUGGAGGAUGACGGUUUUCGGAUUGUAAACUCCUUUUUCUCAGGGAAGAGCGAGGACGGUACCUGGGGAAUAAGUCACGGCUAACUACGUGCCAGCAGCCGCGGUAAUACGUAGGUGGCAAGCGUUAUCCGGAAUUACUGGGCGUAAAGCGCACGCAGGUGGCUGCUUAAGUCUGACGUGAAAGCUCCUGGCUUAACUGGGAGAGGUCGUUGGAGACUGGGCGGCUUGAGGCGAGGAGAGGGGGUGUAGAAUUCCCGGUGUAGUGGUGGAAUGCGUAGAGAUCGGGAGGAAUACCAGUGGCC
Molecule: ribosomal RNA, 540 nt
Filed under: uncultured bacterium
Lineage: Bacteria
Description: bacterial SSU rRNA
Rfam family: Bacterial small subunit ribosomal RNA
Source: RNAcentral